CGAGACGCGCGACGAUCGUCGAUCGCGACCGUUGACGAGGAGCUGCGCGCGGACGGAUCGGAGCGCGCCCUUGACGGGCGUGGUGCUGUGCACGAUGCGCUGCUUCGGCCACAGAUCGGUGGCGUCCAUCCCCGCGGCGUACGGCUUGGGGACGGAGUCGAAGCUCGCGGACCACUCCGACGUGUGCGUGAGGCGAGGCACCUUUUCCUGUUGCUGUUGAACGCGACGGCUUCCUCCUCCUCCUCGCGACGAUCCUCCUCCUCCUCGCGACGAUCCUCCUCCUCUCUCGCCGUCCCUCGAUUGGCGCUGCUUGCCGCCGCCGCGCACGCCGCCGCCGCCGCCGCGGCCGCCGCCCCCGGGCGUCGCCGCGUCCGCGUCGCGCGACGCGCGACGCGCGUCGAUCUUCGCUUGGAGGCUGGAGGGCUGCUGCCGUUGGGACUUAUCGCCGCCGCCUCCUCCCCCUCCUCCCCAUCGCGGACCGCUUCCGCCGCCCUCGCCGCCGCCGCCCGCGCCGCCGCCGCCGCCGCCCGCCGCGCCGUCCGCGCCCGCGGCGAAUCCGCGCGACGACGCGAACGCCGACGCGCGCCGGCGCGACGACGACGACGACGACGACGACGAUAUCUGAUGCGGCGACGCGGAGGAGAGAUCGCCCCGCGUCGUCGCGGUCGCGAACGCGCGCCUCGCGGCGUCGCGCGCGACGAGCGCGCGCGCCUCCGCGACGUCCCCGCGAACGUAUCGAAGCGCCGCGAUCGUCGAAGAAGACAACGCGUCCGCCGCGCGUCGACGCAUGAUCCUCGCUCGCCGCCGCCCCGCGCGCGCCCGGACGAAUGACGAUCAAUCCGUGCCCUAACGCGCGCUUCAAAGCAACCGACCGCGGAAGGGACGACAACAACUCGCGUUUUCUUUUCGGCGCGACGCUGAAGCCGCGCGGGCGUCGGACGCGCGCGGUCUACGCACGUGUCUACUACCGUACAGUACGAAUACACCGCGUCUCCGCUACUAAGACAUCAUAAACCUACUAAGGCCAUCGUCCCCCCCCGCGACGCCCCACUCCCCCCCGACGCCGCCGCCGUCCGUCGUCGACGCCGUCGUCGACGCCUCCACGUCCAGCCGCAGCCCGCACCGCGCCCUCAGCGCGACGCGCUUCCCCUCGCUCAGCGCUUUAUUCUCGCGCAGCACCACCGUCGUCAGCGUGGCGUUCACGUCGAGCAUCUCCGCGAUCGCGUCGCCGCCGUCGUCGCCGACGCCGCACCGCCGCGCGUCCAGUCGAAGCAAACACGCGUUCGUCUUGAGGUCGUUCAAUACGAGCGAACGUCGGGGUGGAGUUGAAAGGCGUCAGAUGGAGUUGAAAGGCGUCGAGGGCGGGGAUUGAAAGCGAGGUAUGGGCGGAGAGAGACGACGGGAAAAGUCCUUAAGGAUCGGCGUUCACCACGCCAACGCGGCCGUAUGGGGACCAGUGUGAGAUAGAACGCGCCUUGAGCUCCUCCGCGACGUCGCGCGCGCCGCCGUCGCCCACGCGCGGGUUCGAGCUCACGUCCAGCUCUCGCAGGUCGUCGUUCGCGCCGAGCGCGUCCGCGAUCCACCACGCGCCCUCGGGCCCGACGUCGUUCGCGGCGAGCCGCAGCGACCG
This 1630-nucleotide long non-coding RNA is filed under the name Micromonas pusilla. RNAcentral's name for it is "long non-coding RNA (MPUS_LNC000133)". Lineage: Eukaryota; Viridiplantae; Chlorophyta; Mamiellophyceae; Mamiellales; Mamiellaceae. The record is from RNAcentral.